AGAAACAUGGUGAAAUCGAAGGGU
This 24-nucleotide non-coding RNA is filed under the name Arabidopsis thaliana (thale cress). The record is from RNAcentral. Lineage: Eukaryota; Viridiplantae; Streptophyta; Magnoliopsida; Brassicales; Brassicaceae.